RNAcentral lists this non-coding RNA (25 nucleotides) under Cricetulus griseus (Chinese hamster). Lineage: Eukaryota; Metazoa; Chordata; Mammalia; Rodentia; Cricetidae. The record is from RNAcentral.
UGUAGCUCUGCUCCUUAACUUUCCC